GUUGGUCGCCCUCUCUAUGUUGAGAAGGGCAGGUCACGCCGUGACACCUUCUGUGGAUACUCCUCUCGGCCAGGUCACCCAGACUCUGAUUGCCGUGAGAAGAAGCGGGACCAGAGGCGCUCCUCUUACAGUGCGACUCCUGGAUCUUCAUCGACUCUGUCACUCACUGACCAGGGCAUAGUACGGCUCAAGCAUCUGCUGGCUACCUCUGGCUCUUCAUCGACAUGUUCUGCUGCUGCUGUUGUGAUUUCUUCCACCACACCGCCAACAUCUACAUAG
Molecule: ribosomal RNA, 279 nt
Filed under: Triticum aestivum (bread wheat)
Lineage: Eukaryota; Viridiplantae; Streptophyta; Magnoliopsida; Poales; Poaceae
Description: partial small subunit ribosomal RNA
Source: RNAcentral